AUGUCUGUUCUCAAGGUCCAGGCCAGAGAGAUCUUUGACUUUUGUGGGAACUCCACUGUUGAAGUUGAUCUCUAUACCACAAAAGGUUUCUUCAGAGCUACUGUGCCCAGUGGCGCCUCAACUGGUAUCAAUGAGGCCCUAGAGCUCUGGCACAGUGAUAAGACAUGCUAUAUGGGGAAGAGUGUCUCAAAGGCUGUUGAGCACAUCAAUAAAACUAUUGAGCAUGCUCUGGUUAGCAAGAAACUGAACGUCAUGAAGCAGGAGAAGAUCAACAAACUGAUUAUUGAGAUGGGAUGGGAUGGAACAUAAAUCUAAGUUUGGUGCAAACGCCAUUCUUGGGGUGUCUCUUGCUGUCUGCAAAGCUGGUGCUGUUGAAAAGGGCACUCCCCUGUACCACCACAUCACCAACUUGGCUGGCAACUCUGAGGUCAUCCUGCCAGUCCUGACCUUCAAUGUCAUCAACGGUGGUUCUCAUGCCGGCAGCAAGCUGGCCAUGCAGGAGUUCAUGAUCCUCCCCAUCGGGGAAGCAAACUUCAGGGAAGUCAUGCGCAUUGGCACAGAGGUUUAAUACAACCUGAAGAAAGUUGUCAAGGAGAAAUAAUGGAAUGAUGCCACCAAUGUGGUGGGUUUGCUUCUAACAUCCUGGAGAAUAAGGAAGGCCUGGAGCUGCUGAAGACUGCAAUGGGGAAGACAGGCUACACAGACAAGAUGGUCAUUAGCAUGGACGUGGUCGCCUUUGAGUUCUUCAGGUCUGGGAAGUAUAACCUGGACUUUAAGUCUCCCGAUGAUCCCAGCAGGUACAUCUCAUCUGACCAGCUGGCUGACCUGUACAAGUCCUUCAUUAAGGAAUACCCAGUGGUGUCCACUGAAGAUCCUUUCUACCAAGAUGACUGGAGCAUCUGGUAGAAGUUCACUGCCAGAAUUGGGAUCCAGGUGGUGGGGAACGACCUCACAGUGACCAACCCCAAGCACAUCACCAAGGCUGUGGUUGAGAGGUUGUGUAAACCUACUGCUCAAAGUGAACCAGAUCAGCUCUGUGACCGAGUCCCUCCAAGUGCACAAGCUGUCCCAGGCCAAUGGCUGGAGUGUCAUAGUGUCUCAUCACUCUGGGGAAACUGAAGACACCUUCAUUGCUGACCUGGUGGUGAGGCUCUGCACUGGGCAGAUCAAGACUGAUGCACCUUGCCAAUCCAAGUGCCUGGCCAAGUAUAACCAGGUCCUCAGGAUUGAAGAAGAGUUGGGCAGCAAGGCCAAGUUUGCUGGCAGGAACUUCAGAAACUCCCUGGUCAAGUAUGCUGUGGGCAGGCGAACCCUGUGCCUUCAUCUCAGGGCGGCCAAAAGACCCCUCUCCAGACAUCAGCACAGGCGACUUGAGGUCCCUGACCAACCCUUGUCGGGACCUCUGCUAGUUAACUCCCCUCACCCACGCCCAUGGUGUUGUCACCGCUUCCGUAGACCUCCAUAG
This is an RNA transcript of Carlito syrichta (Philippine tarsier), 1465 nucleotides long. It is a transcript of the gene named alpha-enolase pseudogene, with no coding region annotated. Lineage: Eukaryota; Metazoa; Chordata; Mammalia; Primates; Tarsiidae. The record is from RefSeq and is a predicted model, not a curated record. The transcript has a single exon.